Non-coding RNA from Triticum aestivum (bread wheat), 72 nucleotides. NCBI's taxonomy places the organism in Eukaryota, Viridiplantae, Streptophyta, Magnoliopsida, Poales, Poaceae. The record is from Rfam.
GCCCGUCUAGCUCAGUUGGUAGAGCACAAGGCUCUUACAUUCUGGUGUUGGGUUCGAGCCCCAAGGUGGGCA